This is a long non-coding RNA of Arabidopsis thaliana (thale cress), 247 nucleotides long. RefSeq annotates it as other RNA. The transcript has a single exon. NCBI's taxonomy places the organism in Eukaryota, Viridiplantae, Streptophyta, Magnoliopsida, Brassicales, Brassicaceae. The record is from RefSeq.
GAAUGCGAUGUUGAUGGUUUUGCCAUGUGGCUUUUUCGGUUAACGAGGAGGUAAUAGCUUCAUAAAAGGCAGAAGGUGGCUGGUGGCUUUUGUUCGCUAGUGUUUAUUAUGUUUAACUUCUAGCAUGAUGUUAUUUCAUAUUCAUCUAUAAAAUUAUGAUUUAAAUCAGGGCCAUAGAAGCUCACGGCUGAAGCUACGGCUGUUCUUCACGCAAUUCGUCACGCCAUCGCUCUUGGAAUUUUGACAA